GUUGAUUUUGCAGGAGAUUACUGCUAUUAGGAUUCGACUAAGCCAUGCAAGUCCUGGGGUUCUUUGGAACACCGGUGAAAUGCUCAGUAACACGUUGAUAAUCCCCCUUAGGUCAGGCAUAACCUUGGGAAACUGAGGCUAACACCUGAUAAAAAAUUUGUUUUGGAAAGAAGUGUUUUUUAAAAGUAAUGCCUAAGGAUGAGUCAGCGGCCGAUUAGGUUGUUGGUGGGGUAAAGGCCCACCAAGCCCGCGAUCGGUAGGGGCCUUGGAAGAGGGAGCCCCGAGAAGGGAACUGAGAUACUGUCCCUAGUUUUAUGGGGUGCAGCAGGCGUGUAACCUCUAUAAUGCACGAAAGUGUGAUAGGGGGAUCCUAAGUGCUCAGCUUUGCUGGGCUUUUGCCAAGAGUAAAAACCUUGGCGAAUAAGCGGUGGGUAAGACUGGUGUUAGCCGUUGUGGUAACACCAGCGCCGCAAGUGGUAAUCGCUAUUAUUGGGCCUAAAGCGUCCGUAGCAGGUUUUGUAAAUCUUAUGUGAAAUUGUUGCGUUUAACGUAACAGUGUGCAUGAGACUCUGCAAAACUUGGGACCGGGAGGAGUCAAAGGUAUUUUUUUGAGCGGUAAAAUGCUAUAAUCCAAGAAGGAUCACCUAUGGUGAAGGUAUUUGACUAGAACGGAUCCGACUGUGAGGGACGAAAGCCAGGGGAGUGAAUCGGAUUAGAUAUCCGAGUAGUCCUGGCCGUAAACGCUGCGAGCUAGGUGUUGCGCAAUCUUCGAGAUUGCGCAGUAUCGAAGCGAAGGUAAUAAGCUCGCCGUUUGGGAAGUAUGGUUGUAAGGUUGAAAUUUAAAGGAAUUGGCGGGGGAGUAUUACAAGGGGUGCGGCGUGCGGUUUAAUCUAAUUUUAUUUAGAGAAUUUUACCAGGAGUGACGGCAUAAUGAAAGUUAGAUUAAAGGUUUUACUUGAGGAGCCGAGAGGUGGUGCAUGGCCGCCGUCAGCUCGUGCCGUAAGGUGUCCAGCUAAGUCUGGUAACGAGCGAGACCUGUGCCCACAAUUGCUAGUAGGUGCUUUUGCAUGACUGAGCAUAUUGUGGGGACUGCCUUGGAAACAAGGAGGAAGGUGCAGGCUACGGUAGGUCUGUAUGCCCCGAAUCUUCUGGGCUACACGCGCGCAACAAUGGUAGGGAUAAUGGGAUACGACCCCGAAAGGGGAAGUUAAGCCUUGAAACCCUACCUAAGUCCAGAUUGAGGGUUGUAAUUUACCCUCAUGAUGUUGGAAUCCCUAGUAAUCGGGUGUUAUUAGCGCCCGGUGAAUACGUCCCUGCUCCUUGCAUAUACCGCCCGUCAAACCACUCGAGCAGGGUUUAGAUGAGUUUCAGCUUUUUUGGCUGUUCCGAAUCUAAGCUCAGUGAGAAGGGUUAAGUUGUUAUAAGGUA
RNAcentral lists this ribosomal RNA (1428 nucleotides) under metagenome. Its description in RNAcentral is "bacterial SSU rRNA". It matches the Rfam family "Archaeal small subunit ribosomal RNA". The record is from RNAcentral.